Molecule: ribosomal RNA, 425 nt
Filed under: uncultured bacterium
Lineage: Bacteria
Description: partial 16S ribosomal RNA
Rfam family: Bacterial small subunit ribosomal RNA
Source: RNAcentral
GUGGGGAAUAUUGGACAAUGGGCGCAAGCCUGAUCCAGCCAUGCCGCGUGAGUGAUGAAGGCCUUAGGGUUGUAAAGCUCUUUCAGUGGGGACGAUAAUGACGGUACCCACAGAAGAAGCCCCGGCUAACUUCGUGCCAGCAGCCGCGGUAAUACGAAGGGGGCUAGCGUUGUUCGGAUUUACUGGGCGUAAAGCGCACGUAGGUGGAUCGUUAAGUCGGGGGUGAAAUCCUGGAGCUCAACUCCAGAACUGCCUUCGAUACUGGCGAUCUUGAGUCCGGAAGAGGUGAGUGGAACUCCUAGUGUAGAGGUGGAAUUCGUAGAUAUUAGGAAGAACACCAGUGGCGAAGGCGGCUCACUGGUCCGGUACUGACGCUGAGGUGCGAAAGCGUGGGGAGCAAACAGGAUUAGAAACCCUGGUAGUCC